This 3444-nucleotide long non-coding RNA is filed under the name Homo sapiens (human). Its description in RNAcentral is "LHRI_LNC1436.1". Lineage: Eukaryota; Metazoa; Chordata; Mammalia; Primates; Hominidae. The record is from RNAcentral.
GCAGAUGCAACUGUAUUAAUUUUAUUGUUUCCUGAAUAAGAAAUUCUGGAUUUUAUUUUUGUAAUGGAAUUUUUAGAUUGGAUAUUCCAUUGCAGAAAACUUGGCUUUUUAUCUGAUAACUACAUGAAUAAGGAUCCAAAAAUCGAUCAUUAAAUUUCACAAAAAAAUUAACCAACAUUGUGUAGUUUUUCAUUUGUUAAUAAAAUACGGAAGUACAGUUAAGCUUAUUGGGUGAGUCUUUAGGGGGAGCUCAUGGAAAAUCAACAUUCAGGUAAACUCCUCCAUGUUAUUUGUCAAAACGGAAUGUUAUAGAUAACUUGUAGCUCAGGUUCUUCCAUAGGUUCAAAUGCUGUAGUUAUUAGAGCACUUUUUUCUUGCAGCUAGAGGAAAGAUAAAUCUCCUUGAGAUUGAUCUUGGUUUCCAGUUUAAAUUUCUUUAGAAAAGUCUGUCAGUUGUAACAUCUACAUUUUGUGCUACUUGGCUUCAGCGGAGAUGCUCAACCAUGGGCCUGGGGAGUUGAGUUCCAAGUUCUGGAAGUUGAGUUCCAAGUUGAGCCACUGACUUUCAAAGGAAGGGCCUCCCAGGAUCUCCGUUCAUCUGUCGCUUGGAGAGGAUCAUGCUGCCUGCCACCCUCACAGGAGUGUUGUGCAGCUUAGUUAAUUAACGUUUGUCAGGCCAUUUGAGAUCCUCAGAUGCAGAGUGCUAGAUAAGUGGAAAUAGUCUGAUUAUUUGUUCAUUUUGUAAGUGUGAUACCAGGACAGUACAAUGAGAAUGUUAUUUCCCCUUUUCUUCAGCAGCGUUAAAUUUAUAGUUUAAAGAUUGUUGAUACCGGACAGACUAUUGAGAUGCAAAAAUGUUCUUUUGGGGACAGUCCAUUGGCAGCCAAACAGACGUUUAAACAAGUGACAAUGUUGAAUGCCUUUACAACCACUGACAGAAGACUGCAGGAGCUUUUUUUUAACUAAAGAUGGUCUGAAGUGAAAAGUGAUAUUCAUUGUUUUGCUUCAUAUUUAAUUAAAAUGAAAGCAAAAUUCCAGUUAUCAAAGAGGUAGCACUGACUUAAUGUUUAUGUACAUAACUGUUUUCUCACCCGAUUUGGACUUUUUACAUGUGCAUAAGUAAAAUACCAAAGAGAUCAGACUAUAUCAGGAAAAAUGGGAAGUAUAUACCUCUCUAAACACUGGUUAUGAAGCCAUGACUUUAGGCCCUGUUGGUAGUUUCUCUUUAGGUAGCAGUUGAUAUUUUCUUUGCCUGAGAGUAAAAUAAAUGAUUAAAAACUAUUGACUAUAUGCAGAGAUGAAAAAUCCUUGUACAUGUCUCUGCUUCUGUGCCAUAUAGAUGUAUUUCUGUUGACAUCUAUUUGAAAAAUAUAUGAUUUAAACUCAAAUAUGUUUUAGUUUAGAUUUUAAAAAUACAAUCCAUGUAUCAAAUUCAUUAUGUGUAAUAGUGAACAUGACAGUUCUGUUUUACCGUGUAAAAGUGAAGUAGCUUUUUCUUAUUUAUUGAUUAUUCAUCUUUUACAUUUAUAUACCAUUUUUGACAGUAGAAAGUUGUCAAAUUCGUUCCAUAUUCCAUAGGUAUAGAAGUUUGGUUUUAUUAGUUUGAUUAAUGAGAUUUUUAAGCAAUCUAAUUUCUUUUCUAUAAGUCUGCUUCAUUAACCCACACAUUUUUUAAAGCACUUUUUUUUUAAUGCACACACAAUAAUUGUACAUAUUGUGGGGAACAUAGUGCUGUUGUGAUACAUAUAAUGUGUGGUGGAAGGAUUAGGGUAAUUUGUAUAUCCAUCACCUCAACAUUUGUAAUUUCUUUGUAUUAGGGACAUUCACUAUUCCAGCUAUUUGAAACUACAUACUACUGUUAAGUACAGGCGUCCUACAGUGCUACAGAACACUGAAACUUACUCCUCCCGUCUAGCUAUAACUUCAUAUCCUUCAACAAAUCUCUGCCUAUUCUCCCUUUCCCCCUACCCUUCCUAUCCUCUAAUAUCUUCUCUUCCGUUUUUGGUUUCUACAAGAUAAAUUUUUUUUUUUUUUAGCUUCCACAUAUAAGUGAGAACAUGCAGUGUUUAACUUUCUAUUCCAGGCUUAUUUCACUUAAAAUAACGUUCGCCUGUUCUAUUCACGUUGCUGCAAGUGACAGAAUUUUAUUCUUUUUUUAUGACUGAAUAUAUUCCAUUGUGUGUAUUUACCUCAUUUUGUUUAUUCAUUUAUCUGUCGUUGGACACCUAGGCUGAUUCCGUAUCUUGAUUAUUGUCAAUAGUGCUGCAGUGAACAUGGGGGUACAGGUGUCUCUUUAAUAUACUAAUUUCCUUUCCUUUGGAAAAAUACUCAGGAGAGGGAUUGCUAGAUCAUGUAUGUAGCUCUGUUUGCGGUUUUUUUGAGGAGCCUCCAUACUGUUCUCCAUAGUGGCUGCCCUAGUUUACACUCCCACCCACAUUAAUAGCACUUGAAAAACGACAACAACAAUGUUUUUGUAACCUAGGCUGUUUGUGAGGUCUGGCAUAGUUCUGCUGGCCCAGGUUUCUAAAGCAGGUGAAGCAGAUGUAUCUUAGUGAAUUGGACUGUAGGUUUGCAGCUACUGUGAAAUGUUAUCCUUUAGUGCAGUAUCUGUUCAUUAUUUCCUAUAUAACUAUCUUUUGCUUGGCUUCUCUUUUCCAUGGACUGCAUGAGUCAGGACAUAACAGGGCCCCCAAAAGAACCCAUUGUUGAGCAUUCUUAGAUGUUGGAAGUGAAGAGUAUACAGAAGGUGGCCCAAGUUUCAGGAGCACAGGGCCAGAAUGAUUCAAAAAUGAGGUAUGUAGUGUUGAUGUGAAUCUGGUAAUUUUCCGGCAGAGCCCAGUCUGAUGGGUCCAUUUUACAGGCACAUUAAUACCUAAAAUGCCACAACGAGGUUUUAUUUUGGAUUUUUGGGGAUUUUGUUAUUUUCACCAAAAAGGUAAAUAUUAUCUCCAUUGUCUCUCAUAUAUAUAUAUAUAUAUAUUUUUUUUUUUUAUUUUUUUUUUUUUUUUUUUGAGACGGAGUCUCCCUCUGUCGCCCAGGCUGCAGUGCAGUGGCGCAAUCUCCGCUCACUGCAAGCUCCGCCUCCCGGGUUCACGCCAUUCUCCUGCCUCAGGCUCCUGAGUAGCUGGGACUACAGGCGCCCGCCACCACGCCUGGCUAAUUUUUUUUUGUAUUUUUAGUAGCGAUGGGGUUUCACCAUGUUAGCCAGGAUGAUCUCAAUCUCCUGACCUCCUGAUCCGCCCGCCUCGGCCUCCCAAAGUGCUGGGAUUACAGGGGUGAGCCACCGCACCCAGCCUGUGAAAUACUAUUUUUAUGGUAAGCUAGAAUUUUAAAACUAUUUCUUGCAAGUUUAGGAUUAAAUGAAUUACAUUAUGUAAAAUUACAUCUUUGUCUGUAUUACGUAUUUGUAUACAGUUGAAUAGUUUUGGUAACACGUACCUUAGUG